Molecule: long non-coding RNA, 1268 nt
Organism: Passer domesticus (house sparrow)
Lineage: Eukaryota; Metazoa; Chordata; Aves; Passeriformes; Passeridae
Exons: 2
Source: RefSeq, a predicted model, not a curated record
UAGCCCAUUUGCCGUGUCCAGGCACACAGGAGCGUUCUGGGGGUGGGCAGGGGGCUGCUGUCCAGUGAGGCCAGAGCCCUGGGCACCUCUGUGCGUGCCUGGCCGAGCAGUCCCUGCUGAAAGCUGCUGUGUCCUGUUCAAACUCUGUGUGCUCGUCCUGUACUCCAUUCCACGUUGUCUGAGUUGUGCCCCUGAAUGUUCUGGAGCUGGGAAGGCUGAACGCCUGCCUUGGGGAGCGAGGCAGGGCUGACACGUGCUCUGCAGCCUCAGCCUGCUGCUCAGUUCUGUCCUAACCCAAAGCUAGGCGUAGGUUUGCUAGGCGCAGUCUCCAGCACAGCAGGGCUGUUCUGGCUGUGCUCUGGGCACUUUGCAGGGUUCCUUAGAGCCAGCCUUUCCUUUGGCACAAUGCUUGCUGCCCAUGGGCCUGCAUGUGAGGUGCCUGGCCUCUUCCUUUUCUCCCUGGGAUUCUCUCCAGGGGUACAUCAUCCUGCUGUUGGCUUUAGGAGGUUUGGCUGACACUGACACUGUCUUUCUGUGCCUGACAGGAUGUUCCUUAGCUUUUAGCUCCUGAAGCACACUGACCUCAGUCCUGUGCUCUCACCCCUCAGAGCUAGUGUUCCUGGGGUCAGUGCCACUUCCUGAACAUCACAGACCUUAAAGAGCCAAAGGCCUUUGAAAAGAGGAUUGCCAUGUCACUCACAGAAUUCAGUGCAGCAGAAAGUGGGUAAUUAAAGUUGAGAGAAUGCUGCAAAUGUUCCCAUUUAUUACCCAGUGUCUGCAUUUGCAGAAAGCUCUUCUAUGCUUUUCUGGAUUAUGAAACUUAAGAAUGACACUCAGACUUCUUAGAAAGAGUGAAGAUUUAAUUUUGGACAUGUAGUAGAGCAUGAACAGUUCUUGCUGAGAGCAGCUCUGAAAGUUGGAGGCAUCUGAUGCUCGUGUGCCUGAGUACAGACAAGUGGCUGCACACCAGUGUGCCUGCUCUGGUUGUGCUCUGUUAAAGCUUAGCACAGUCCUGCUCUAGGGUUUAAACUGGGGCUCCUGAGUGUUGUAGUGUAGCAGCUGGGGCCAGGACAGGUAUUAGGUGUGUGGUAGGUGUGGAUGAGCAGCCCCCGAGCCUCAGCUGAUCUGUGUAGCAAAUGCUGAUACACCUUAGUAGCAAAUAGCCAUGUGAGUACUAACGUGUGUAGUAGCUGCUGUACAUCCCAUGUAAAACACUGACUGGUUUGUAUUUUUACUGUACAUAAAUUAAAGCCUCUUCAGUUGUUCAA